UGUUAAUCAAGCACACACUUACUUAUUAUUGAUCUAGUAAUCUUUUUAUAAAUAUUGUUACGUUUUUUCCUAUGGCAGGUACAUAGUUGCCCGUUAAGUAAAAUGUUAUGCAAACACCCUCUUUUUGAGACUAAUAAAUCAAAGCAUGUCGCAUCUAUCGUCUUUACUCCGAGCCUAUGAAAUUACUUUUCAUCGCCUUGUUAACUAUGACUUUUCGAGGCAUUGAGAGCAUAGUCCAGCAACAUAAUUCAUUGCGGGCACGUCACCUCUUGGCUCCGUAGCGAUUGAAGAAGAUCCAACCUUUAGCCGCAUCAGAUGGGUCUCCAAUAUCAAAGGCGAUUGUGUUCAAUGUCGUAGCACCUCAUGCAAGUUGCAUUUUGACAGUAUAGAACCACGUGACAUUGAUUGAUUUGACUCUUUUAAAUGUAGCCGGGAGUCAAAUUCCUUAUUUUUUGCCUAAGACAGUGUGUGAAGGUCACAUGCCUAUAAUGCCUAUGAUACGACGUUGUGACAUCGUCAAGUUUAAGUAGAGGGUCAUUGGGAUGAGGUCAUGUGUCAAUCAUUUGAGGAGCCUCAGUUCAUUCUCUUUGCCUAUAAAUACUUAACUUUAUGAAAUUGUGAAGGUAAUUACCAAUUGGUAGUUCUCACUCUAGAAAUCUAACCUUAGUCCCAUUUUUCCCCAUUUUUCUUCAUUGUUUGUUCUCUAUUCGUUAUUGUGCUGACUCUUGAGCUUCGAAACAUGUAC
RNAcentral lists this long non-coding RNA (745 nucleotides) under Olea europaea subsp. europaea. Lineage: Eukaryota; Viridiplantae; Streptophyta; Magnoliopsida; Lamiales; Oleaceae. The record is from RNAcentral.